GAAAUGCGAUAAGUAAUGUGAAUUGCAGAAUUCAGUGAAUCAUCGAAUCUUUGAACGCACAUUGCGCCCGCCAGUAUUCUGGCGGGCAUGCCUGUUCGAGCGUCAUUUCAACCAUCAAGCCCCCGGCUUGUGUUGGGGACCUGCGGCUGCCCGCAGGCCCUGAAAAACAGUGGCGGGCUCGCUGUCACACCGAGCGUAGUAGCAUACAUUCUCGCUCAGGGCGUGCUGCGGGUUCCGGCCGUUAAACGACCUUUAUAACCCAAGGUUGACCUCGGAUCAGGUAGGAAGACCCGCUGAACUUAAGC
This 305-nucleotide unclassified non-coding RNA is filed under the name plant metagenome. Its description in RNAcentral is "partial contains 5.8S ribosomal RNA, internal transcribed spacer 2, and large subunit ribosomal RNA". The stretch from base 1 to 105 matches the Rfam family "5.8S ribosomal RNA", at positions 50 to 154 of the family's 154-position model. The record is from RNAcentral.